RNAcentral lists this ribosomal RNA (396 nucleotides) under uncultured bacterium. RNAcentral describes it as "bacterial SSU rRNA". It matches the Rfam family "Bacterial small subunit ribosomal RNA", at positions 30 to 426 of the family's 1533-position model. The record is from RNAcentral.
AUUGAACGCUGGCGGCAUGCCUUACACAUGCAAGUCGAACGGCAGCACGGGAGCAAUCCUGGUGGCGAGUGGCGAACGGGUGAGUAAUAUAAUCGGAACGUGCCCGGUCGUGGGGAUAACGUAGCGAAAGCUACGCUAAUACCGCAUACGAUCUACGGAUGAAAGCGGGGGAUCGCAAGACCUCGCGCGAUUGGAGCGGCCGAUAUCAGAUUAGGUAGUUGGUGAGGUAAAGGCUCACCAAGCCGACGAUCUGUAGCUGGUCUGAGAGGACGACCAGCCACACUGGGACUGAGACACGGCCAGACUCCUACGGGAGGCAGCAGUGGGGAAUAUUGGACAAUGGGCGAAAGCCUGAUCCAGCAAUGCCGCGUGAGUGGAUGAAGGCCUUAGGGUUGU